This 181-nucleotide non-coding RNA is filed under the name Burkholderiales bacterium. RNAcentral's name for it is "6S RNA". It matches the Rfam family "6S / SsrS RNA". Rfam says of the family: E. coli 6S RNA was the first non coding RNA to be sequenced, but its function was unknown until recently. It consists of 184 nucleotides that fold into an extended hairpin structure with a large single-stranded internal bulge. The record is from RNAcentral. RNAcentral also lists the same sequence under 1 other name. Lineage: Bacteria; Pseudomonadati; Pseudomonadota; Betaproteobacteria; Burkholderiales.
UGUCCCCUGCGGUGUUCGUGAUGGCCAUAUAUUCUUUGACCCGAUAGCCAUCUAACCCGGUUGUCAGCCUAAGCAAUGCCGGUGUGCGCUCCCAAGCGGAAGUGCCUAAAGGUGUUGGGCAGACGACCCCUUUUUAGGAAAGGGUCCAAGAUGCCGGUCUAACGGCACAGGCGGGGGGCUU